Long non-coding RNA from Nymphaea colorata (pocket water lily), 2085 nucleotides. RefSeq lists it as uncharacterized. The record is from RefSeq and is a predicted model, not a curated record. NCBI's taxonomy places the organism in Eukaryota, Viridiplantae, Streptophyta, Magnoliopsida, Nymphaeales, Nymphaeaceae. The transcript is spliced from 2 exons.
UUCUCUGUAAAAAUUCAUUUCUGACGUCCCUUCCCUCUCGAACACGUGUAUGUCACCAUCUUUCCCCUUCUCCUUUUCUCCCUCUGCUCAGGCUUGCACCAAAUUGCUACCUUCUCUCUCCUGACCAUCUCUCUCCUGCCCAUGUCCUGCUGCUGUUUUUUUGCCCUUUCAACCCCACUACCGUCUGUCUGCCCGUGCUCCCUCUCGUCUGUCGUGUUUUAUCUGCUCAUCCCGUGCCACCAAUCUCUCUCCCUCCCUCCCUCCCUCCCUCGUUUGCAAUGUUCCGGGGACCUUUCAGAUCUCUCUCUCUCUCUCUCACACACACACACACACACACACACACAGAGAAAGAGAACCAUUUCGGGGAAAGUGAUCUGGUUCAAUUAUUUUUGUUCAUGGUCCUCUGGUACUGGUUUUAGGUUCUUCAGAUUUCAAGUCUCUUCGUGGUAGCUGAUUUAUAUUGCGUACUUGUUUGAGUUAACCACUUUUACACAUUGAGUGUUUCGUCUUGACUAGUUCCUCUUGGUUUCCUAUUCGAUGGAGCUCGCUGUCUGUGUGUUUUGUAUAUUUCUCUCGAAGCUCCGUGAACAUGUUUAGUUUGUUUGACAGCCUUUCCUUACUGGUUGAAUAUGGCUACGGAAACUUGGGUGCAUAUUCAUGGUAGCUUUCAGAUCCGCAGUUUCUUUCUUCAUUCGGAAUAGAUCUAAUCCACCACGUACCAUUUUGGUACCUUUCAAAUCGACAGUUUCUUAUCUCGUCCAAGAUAGAUUCUAUCUACCAAUUUUUUUCAAUUCCUUGCUUUUUAACCCAUGGUAGCUUUCAAAUCUACAGUUUCUUUCUUCCAUAGUAGAUUUAAACAUCCACCAUGUUUCUAAAUCUUUACCUUUUGGUCCUGUUAACAUUCAAUUUCACCGUUUCAUUCUUCAUCCAAAAUAGAUUUAGUCCACCACCAUUUUUUCAAAUCUUCAUAUUUUUCUAUCAUGGGCAUCGUCCUUCUUAGACUUCUAUUAGACUGCGGUCCCAAUCCAUACUUGUCCGCACUUGUGUUGUUCUUGUUUUGUCGUCAAUGUUUAGAUGUCAAUAUUGUGCUUCAUUUCCACUAUUUUGGUCUCACCUUUUAUAUUUAAUCUUCAGUCCCACAUCCAAAUUCAUGAAGUUCAUCCGGCGACUCUUUCUUUCCUUUGUAUGUUGUAUUCCUGAAUCUUGAGAAAGUUUUUGCGUCAUUAUCUCUUAACUAUUUAUUAUAUAUUUCAAGGAGUCAAUGUAAUGUGAAUCCUUGUGAUUUCUUAUUGGUUUUCCAGGGUUGAUGAGUGGAGCUCCUUUAGAUUCAAAACAGGUUCCUGCUGAACAUAUAGAGCUGCUGAGUUAUGGAUACCACUGUCCUAUCCUUUGGCGAGAAGGCCCGGAUAGGCUUGUGGUUUGCAUGACACGGGAGCUGCAUUGUUCAUGCUUCAACCUCAUUUGGAUUGAAGGGAGCUCUGCUCUUAAAUCUUCUCUCUACGGCCACCAUCUGUUCUCGACCACGGUCUUGAUCUUUUAGGUUUCCGCUGUGAUCAACGCGGUCGUGAGUUUGAUCGCGAACGCCUAUUCUUUGAAGGUUUUGAGCCUUUCUCCGAAGAGGACAGUAGUUGCUCUAAUUCAAGAUACAACAGUACUGAUUGGAUGCAUUUCACUGAUCGUUGCCAGCAGCCAGAAGAUGGAUUCAGAUCACGCCAGUAUCAAAACAUAUUUUUUGGUGCAUUGUACAGAACUUUGGUGGUGAUUUGUAUCUUAGGUCUCAAUCUGCAGAGGAUUGAAUAUCUAAUGCGGAAAGUCCUGGUUUAUCGCUGUUUCUUCAGUACUGAUUUCUGCCUUUGAUCUCGCCCUCUUGUAUACCAUUGAAAUUGUGUAUUCCAUGAGCUGCAUCUGUCUCACGUAGUCUAUAUAUUAAUGGUGCGGAGAUGAUUAUAUUGAGGUUGGAGGAAUUGUUACGUUAGGAGGUGUAGUUAGAAUUGAUGGUGUGAGCUUGUUGCAACAGAAGUUCCUGGUUGUGAAGAAGCACGUGUGUCGCUUGUAGUAAUCAAAUUGGAAUUCUCAGUGUACGUA